This 253-nucleotide ribosomal RNA is filed under the name uncultured bacterium. RNAcentral's name for it is "partial 16S ribosomal RNA". It matches the Rfam family "Bacterial small subunit ribosomal RNA", at positions 524 to 776 of the family's 1533-position model. The record is from RNAcentral.
UACGAGGGGGGCUAGCGUUGUUCGGAAUUACUGGGCGUAAAGCGCGCGCAGGCGGUCCUUUAAGUCGGGGGUGAAAGCCCAGAGCUCAACUCUGGAACUGCCUUCGAAACUAGAGGACUUGGGUACGGGAGAGGUGAGUGGAAUUCCGAGUGUAGAGGUGAAAUUCGUAGAUAUUCGGAAGAACACCAGUGGCGAAGGCGGCUCACUGGCCCGUUACCGACGCUCAGGCGCGACAGCGUGGGGAGCAAACAGG